CCUACGGGAGGCUGCAGUGGGGAAUAUUGCACAAUGGGCGGAACCCUGAUGCAGCAACGCCGCGUGGGUGAAGAAGUACUUCGGUAUGUAAAGCUCUGUCAGCAGGGAAGAAAAUGACGGUACCUGACCAAGAAGCCCCGGCUAACUACGUGCCAGCAGCCGCGGUAAUACGUAGGGGGCAAGCGUUAUCCGGAUUUACUGGGUGUAACGGGAGCGUAGACGGCAUGGCAAGUCUGGAGUGAAAGCCCGGGGCUCAACCACGGGACUGCUUUGGAAACUGUGUUGCUGGAGUGCAGGAGGGGUAAGCGGAAUUCCUAGUGUAGCGGUGAAAUGCGUAGAUAUUAGGAGGAACACCGGUGGCGAAGGCGGCUUACUGGACUGUAACUGACGUUGAGGCUCGAAGGCGUGGGGAGCAAACAGGAUUAGAUACCCGGGUAGUC
RNAcentral lists this ribosomal RNA (440 nucleotides) under uncultured bacterium. Its description in RNAcentral is "partial 16S ribosomal RNA". It matches the Rfam family "Bacterial small subunit ribosomal RNA", at positions 338 to 795 of the family's 1533-position model. The record is from RNAcentral.